UCAGUACAAAUAAUAUGCUGCUCUCAGUCGAGUGACACUAAAGGACAAAAAGACCCUCUGAAGCUUUAUAGGGAUAAAACUUGGACUGUAACAUCGCGAUCUAAAUUAUCUUAUUGCAUCGCAGCUAAAGUGAAUAGAUUUCUGAUUUCUCCUAAGACCACUGUUUAAUUGGGGCGAUAA
This 180-nucleotide ribosomal RNA is filed under the name Symbiodinium sp. clade F. RNAcentral's name for it is "partial 23S ribosomal RNA". Lineage: Eukaryota; Dinophyceae; Suessiales; Symbiodiniaceae. The record is from RNAcentral.